Takifugu rubripes (torafugu) is the source of this 2721-nucleotide long non-coding RNA. The record is from Ensembl. Lineage: Eukaryota; Metazoa; Chordata; Actinopteri; Tetraodontiformes; Tetraodontidae.
UUCCAAGAUGCUGUUCGACAAAACACCAUGAAAGAAGACGAAGAAGAGGUGGCGGAAGAAGUGUUGUUUUUAAUGUUCUGUACAUAUUCAGAUGUCUGUGUAGAUUCAUAUUCAGAGUUUUAUUAUUAUGCGAGUCACCUGGUGCACAACCUGCUGCAAAGCGACAGAUCAGGAGCAGUCGCUGAUGCUUUUAGAGGUCACGGAUGGUUAAUACGCCCUCUUAGCUCGUAAAGUAGUCACAAUAAACAUGGUCAUCUCUUCUGUUUUCAUUCAUAGUUUAUCUGUAUAUUUAAUGGACUGUUGCAGUAACCAAUACAGUAAUAUUUGCAAAAUUAUAGAUUAUCUAGAUUGUUAUUUUCUCUGAGCAUGUAUUGAUUUUGUCCUUUCUUUACAGAAACUUAUGCCAAAUCAAUAUAGCCACACUGUGUGUAGCUAUGAAACAGUGGGAGAAAACAAGUUCAAGGCAGCAAUAAAACUGAAGCUGUCCAGUGAAGAGGAGGCAAAGAGAUGGCUUGAUGAAUUCAAGAGGUCGUCAGGGUUCAUAUGGCGGACCUCCAAAACCUACCCUAAUGGAGGGCGCUACAACAAAUUUAGAGUAAUGACUUGAUUUCUGAUCGAAUCCUUUCAUGAGUUAUUCCUGCAAAAUCAUUUGUAAUGUUAUUCUUCUUCAAUUGAUCGUAAGACCAACUUUAUUUAUCUAAUCUUUUCCCCCCAAAAGCCCCGGGAGUUGCUGAAAAUGCUGACAAAAUGUCCGUUUAAGGUUUCCAUGAAAUGCUUUUAUUUUCGUUUCUGACAGUUUUAGUUUAUAUUUCACAGGUUGACUACAAGUGCAAGACGAUAAAGAAGAACGCAACUUGCCCAGCUACUCUGUUCCUGGUACUGAAACGGCAUCCAGAAUUUGGAGAAAGGAAAUCAAGAUCUGGAGAUCCUCACAUGAAGGAAGGACUCUUCCUUCAUAUUAACUUGCGCAAUGAGCACAACCAUCAUCUCUCAUGUGCUGGACUUGUGAGAAGGGACGUCUCUGGAGAAACGAUCGAAAAACUCAAAAAGCUGUUUGAAAGUGGCCACACUCCUUCAUCAGCUCUCAAAGAACUGAAGCACAAUUUGCAGGUGCAGGAAAAAGACAAUUACGUGAAUGCGGCCGCAGAUCGUUCCGUCUGCCCUGAUUUGCCAUUUUGUUACAGACUGUAUUACAAACUUUUCAAAAAAGCUUACAAUGCCGCUGCGGGAGAAGAGGUCUCCCGCGAGCUUGAACGAACCCUCAUCGAUUACAACAAGGAGCAAGGAGACGUUUGUGCCGGCAUGUGCAAAACCUCCGACAACCAGCUGGUGAUCGCUCUGUGCACUCCGCUGAUGAAGAGGGUCCACGCUCGGGUGAGAGAGAGUGCCGAGGUGAUGUUUGUGGACUCUCCAGGGAACUGUUCCCGCCUUAAUCACCACCUGUUCCUGCUCCUCACUCAUUCCUCAGUGGGUACUUUACCUUUGGGUGCAUUUAUCACGACAUCUGCAACCCAGGCCACUUUUUCUGCUGCCAUGCAGCUGCUACACACCGUCUUUCCACCUGAGAGGUUCUUCGGCCAUCCGGAUGGACCUCUUGUUGUUAUGACCGACGACUCCACUCUACUCAGGCAGGCUUUACAUGAGGCAUUUCCUAAAGCCACCCUGCUCUUUUCGGUACUACACCUUCUUCGGGCCAUGUGGAGAUGGCUCUGGAGCAGUCCAAAUGAAAUACCAAAGCACCACAGGUCCCGACUUCUGAACUCUUUCAGGAUCCUGUUGCGCGCCUCCACGCCAGUAGCUCUCAUGGAGGCCUACAGCAGACUGAUGGAAGAUCCCGUGUCCACCCAGUGUCCAAACUUUGUGCUGCAUCUCCAGGAAGUGUUUGAAAAGCGAGGGGAGUGGGCCAUCUGUCUGCAGGAACAGCUGUCUGCUGUUAGAAACACAGUCAACAGCUGUGAAGAAAGCGUCACGAGGAGGAUAAAAGACAAACUCUUCUAUCGACUCAAGUCACAUAAUCUGACACAGCUGGUGAAAUUUGUUGUCACAAAAAUGGAGGCUCAUUACAUCCACCGGCUGACAGAUGCUGCCAACAACCGGCUCCAAACCGCACAGAAGACGAUGAAGGGGAAGGAGCUGGACAAACAAACUAUUUUGCAGGAAGACGAGGACAGCUACACCGUGACGAGCGCGUCAAACACCGCCGUGUCCUACCACGUUGACAUGUCCAUCAGUUGCUGUACGUGCCCGGCGGGGGUAAUGGGGGGGCACUGCAAGCAUCAAAGUGCCGUCUCCAGGACAUUUGGACACGCCAUCGAAGACGGAUUAUUGCUGGGCUUACCGCCAGAGGCUCGCAAGUUGUAUUAUCAAAUCGCCACAGGAGUGGACAUGGAAGCCGAUGGUUCCGGAAGGUUUCCUGCCGUGGUGGUGAAACCAGCAGCUCAGGCUGGGAGAACAGAGCUUUGUACUGGUGAAGUCAUCUUUGUAGCUGAUGCAGCCGACAGCAUUGUUGAAACCUGGUGUGAGCAAACAGAGUCGUCGCUUAUAGAACCUGAAUCAGGUGAACUCAAACAAAGAUUGGAAAACGUGUUCCUGGACCUCUCGAAGAAACUGGACAACCCCGAGUUCGUGUAUUCUGUCACCUCAUUUGUGGAGUCUUACGAAAGCCUCCAGACAGACGAUCAGCUAGCAUCAGCGCUCUCCUCUUUCGGACAGCGUCUGUAA